CGCCUACAGGGCAGCGCCAGCCGGCGGGCGGCUCUGAAUCUGGACCUGGGCCUGGGCCUGGGCCUGGGCCUCAGCGCGGGCGGAGGCGAAGGCCUGUUUGAGGGAGUGGUCGCCAGGGAAAUUGGCAUCUGGUUGCAAAAAAGUACCCAAGGAGCGCGGGAGAGCUCGGCGUAGAGUGGGCGUCCACCCCGAAUCACGAGCCCCAGAGGUGUUUACACUCGAGAGACGCACAGGACAGUCAAGGAAUCACAUAUUGAAGAGCCUUGCCAGGCGUUGCAAGUGUGAGUGGAUUUUGU
This 296-nucleotide long non-coding RNA is filed under the name Pan troglodytes (chimpanzee). Its description in RNAcentral is "long non-coding RNA NONPTRT007780". The record is from RNAcentral. Lineage: Eukaryota; Metazoa; Chordata; Mammalia; Primates; Hominidae.